GGAAUUCUGCAAGUUAGGAGCUGGUUCAAAUGUGGCCCAACAGAUAAAUUUUGUGAUUAAAAAUAAAUAAAUGUCGAGCAGUUUCCUAGCAAGAGAUCCAAUGUUAAAAAUUUAUAGAGAUCCACAACAUUGCGAUGUGAGGUCUUACUUGUGCAUUGUUCAUAUGAGCAUCUGAAACAACAAGUCACAAACAUGGCAAUUGGUGAAGUCCACCUCAAAAAGGAAAACCACAUCUGGUAUCAUCUAUGGUUUAAGCAUGCAGCAACUAACAUGAUUAGGGGUUUAAAUAUCUGGGGUAGGCUUGUCUCUAGGCCUUAGUAUGAGCAUAGCUUCGGGAGACGCAUUUUCACACGUUGCCAACUCUUUACAUGCUUCCACAUAAGCUUUGGUUUCUUCUCCAUGGUUGAAACUGACAAAAAAGUAUUCAAACAUCCCUGCUUUUGAUAGCAGAAACUUCAUAAACCACAUGUCAUUUGGUAAAUACUUCGGAUGAUCCACCGAGACAUGUUUGAGAUUAGCAAACAGGUCAUCAUAUAUCACUGCAUCAAGAAUAUCUUGGUCGAUGGCAUCAUCAUUAUCAGUUUCAACUUCCGGCCUGACUACCUACACAAGGAAGUCCAAGAUUGUUGUGUCAGUUAAACAACUCAAUCCAUUAAUGGAUGUCUGUUAACCGAGACAUACAAGUUCAAGGGUGCAUCUUAUAUUACCUGAAUUUUGAGUUUUUCAAUGUGAGGACCAAAUCUCAGUGAAGAAAAUAUCGACAUAAUGCUUGGGAAUUUGCCGAAAUUUGCAGUCUGUUGCACAGCCCUCAAGUUCUGGAAUGUCCAUAAAAUCCUUUCCAGCGGAUUUUCCAUAGUCUGGAAAACAUAGAACACAGUUAGAUUAGCAUAUGGUCCUAGUGCAAGUUUACAUCGGGGUGACAUAUAACUCAAAUCAGCUAAGAGUGACUUUGUUAGCAAUGUGUUUUCGUAAUCGAAGAGGGAAACUGUUAGCAAUGUCUGUUUGCUGCAUCUAGAGUGGGUUUCAUGAAUGAAUUCACAUUGCACAGUGCCAUACAAAAAAUGAGAAAGGUGAACAGAUGAUUGCCUAUAUAUCCAGUAUCCACGCACCAAAAGAUUACCAUUAUGACUUAAAAAAUUAAAUAGUUACUUCCAAGCUCUUACCAUUACUAUUUAUACAAGAUGACUGUUGAAUACUUCAUGUAGUAACGCCAUGCUCUUAAUAGGAGUUAAUUGCAAAAAACCACCACAUUUGGGGCUUCGUUUACGGAAAAAUACUUGGUCCCUAAUUAUUUGCAAAAGUCACCAUGUAUCUAGUAAACUUUUUGCAAAUUGCAUUGAUCAGGUGAUUUAGCCUGAUUGAUCACUUUCUGACAAGUGGGGCCGGAUUGUAAAGGGAUGAUUUGGUAAAAAAUUAACAUACACCUCCCUGGAUUUCACAAAGGCACCCUUAUUUAAAAUUUUUUAAAGCAAUCAGCCCCCCUCCCACCCCCGUCCCCUGCCUCCUCCAAGGUGGUGGCUGGCCACCACGGGAUGGCCUCCCUCCUCCCUGGCCUUGCUCGCGGGGCGGCCUCCCUCUUCCCUGGCCGGCGGCUCGCCCCUAGCCACAAGCUCAGGGCCCCGGCAUGAAGUGGCUUCCAAUCCUACGCGUUCACCCGGCCCUGCCGCUGUGCUGUCGGAGCUCCGCCGCCUGGCGAGUGCUCCGCCCAGCGUGCUGCUGCUCGGCACUGCAACUCCCCGCCGGUGUGGCUACUGCUGCUCGCCGCCGCUGGUCCUCGUCGCUGCGGCUGCCACGGGCACGCCGAGCAGGAGGUUGUGGCGCUGUGUCGCGAACACGCCGACCUGCUCGUGAUUCCUGUCCGCCACCGCGACGCGCACCGGGGCGCGCACGCCGCGCUCAACUGCUCGCUCCUGCCCAUCUCCUCCCUGCUCCACCUCCUCCUCGUCUCUGUGUCCGCCCUGCCGGGGCUCAUGCUCCCCGCCACGGCAUCCAAAUGGUCGGCAGGGUUUGGGCGCCGCCGUGUCGGCCGAGCUCGCGCUGCUUCGGCAGUAGCGCUGCUCCACGGGGGGAUGGGUUGAUUGCUUUUAUUUUUCAAAUAUAGGGGUGUAUGUGUUAAUUGUUUGCUGAGUCAGCUCCUUACAACCGGUUCCAUUUAUAUGACAAGUAAUUUCAGACUGAGGGAGCAUUUUGGAGGCUCCUAGGGCUAUGUGCAAAGCCAGAUUCGCCAAACACAACCUUCAUAGUAGUAUUUGUUUUACACAUGAGACCCACCUAUUGUUGGCUUACUAUUUCUUUGAGGAGCUCGCCGCGUAGAGGACCUCUGCAACAUCCAACACCGAGGAGCUCAAAUGUCACGCCUUCGCCUUCGUGGCGGCCAAUGAGUCGCCUGGCUCUGAAGAUCCAAGCGAGGGCCAGCUGAAACCUCUCACUCUGUUCUCUGAGCCUCUCACCAACCCCCUGUUGUAUCUGGAUGAACUAUCAAUCCUAGAUCUGGGCUAUGACGGAGAAGAGCGGUCAGUGCGGGGGCGGCGGUUAGGGCUCUGGGACAAGGGGGAGGUGGAGGGGAAGGGGAAGGGAGGUGGAAGAUGAGUUGCGGGCGAGCUAAAACUUCCUUCGUGCCACGGGUUUCCUAGAUGGAGUGCGUUCCAAAGUGACCUUCGAGGCAACAAAUAUGCAAUCUGGGAGGCCAGAUAUGGAGAGCGCUUCAAAAAUUGUGAUGGCAUGGCACGGGAUGGCGACUCUACUAGAGUUGCUCUCAGCAAUAUCAGUGCUUUGACAAUUAAAUAACGAUGGACAUUUCCUCAAAAAGAAAAAUAAAUAAUGGACAUAGUUUAGAGAUUAACAUCAAUGCAUGUCGCCUCAAAUUAAAAAAAAAUAGAAUUCAACUAUUUGUUCCAUGGACAUUUGACGCAAUGUAGUUUUGUACCUGAUCUGAGUCGGUGUGCAAGUAAAGCUUCUUAACAAUAGAAAUUCGUCGGAAAGUGUUGAUGAAGUUUGGGGUCCCGAAUAGGGGAUCAAUGGAAAUUUGUGCCACCUCCAGCAAUGGGAGAUCCCCCACAAUUCGGCAUCCGUUGUCAAGGGACAUGGUCAACCUGAGGAAACGGAGGUUGGGCGCCUGGAUGGCACAUGUUACGAUAUCAGCCUCAUCGUCGCCGAUCAUGACAUCAUCCAACAAGAGCCUUGUGAGGUGCGGUGCCGAGGAGAUUAUGAGUUGGAGUUGCGCCGCGGCGCCAUGGAAAGGGAGGACCACGAACUCGAGGUAGAGGGUGAAGAGGUUGGGGAAGCCAGCGAAGCCCUGAGGAGCGCGCAACAAGUGGCAAUAGCCACAGAGCUGGAGGUGGGUGAGUGUGCUGCAGGAGUAAAGGGCCGGGCCGACCACGGGCGGGCGGGGCGAGUGGGCGGGCCAGGGCUCGUCGAACUUGAGCUUGAGCAUCUUGACGCGCUUGUGCGCCAGGGCAAGGAGCCAGCGGGCAGGGCGGUGGGAGUGGCGCCUUUGGACAUGGGCGGUGAAGCUGCGGAUGGGCGCGGCGCACGGCCAUAGGCUGCAGGCAGUGAAUUUGUGGACGGGCGCGGCGCACGGCCACAGCAGGAAGCGUGGAUCGCGUGCGGUGGAGGAUCCUCGACUGAACCAAAUGUCGAGGCCGGGGACGGAUUCCCAUCGCCGGUGCCAAGCGGGGGAGAGACAGCAGGUGCCGACCAACUUCUCGAAGGGGAGCCGACGGAGGAUGUCAUCGAGCAUCUCAGGCGGAAGGGACAUCAGGUAGUUUGGGCCGGCCAUCGGCGCCUCCUCCCCCCGCCGUUGACUCGUGGAGGAACCCACGCCCCCCAUCCUCUCCAUUGGGGAUUUGUGGGCUGGUGUGGUGGGAGUGAGGGGUGCUCCAGCCGCGUGCGCUUUUAAUGCGUGUUGCCGCACACAUCCAUUUUUACAAUUAAUGAUGGUAUUUCUACAAAUAUAUUGAGACCUUGAGACAUGAAAGUUAAUUUUGUCGAUAUCAAAAGGAUAUGUUGCUUAUUAUUAAUCUUGGUUGUUUCACAUUGUCAACAACACCAGAUACAUAAUGAUAGUAUUCGGAAAGGUAAAGAAAAGACUUACAAAGCCUGCAUUUGUGGGAUAAAUCCAUCUAUCCGCCAACGAUCAUAAUAAUACCUCUCAAGGAGAAAAAUGAUUCCUUUUCUGCAAUAGCACACACAAUUUCCGGGAAAGAGAUCAAUGCAAGUUUAGAGACAAAACUAUGCAACAUAAAUAAGAUGAAUAAUUGUCCCGGUUUAUUACCUUUUUUACCGACUUCGCAAUGCUACGUCCCUUGCGAGUUGUGGUGGGACCAUGUUGCUCCCUUGUCUUCUCGCCCAUACCUCUUCCAUAGUCUUCCUCAACAACGGUGGCAGUGGUACACCUAUGGUUUGUCGUAGGCCGCGAGAACAAGGGGGUGGCGAGGGGAAGCUGAAUGAAAUAGCUGAUGAUGAAAACAAUGCAUAUUUUGAUCUUCAAAGUGGAUACAAAGGAGUAUGCUUGUAGUAAAUUUUACUAAGUAAUUUUAUAGUUCGAAAUUGUAAUAUGUAAGAAGCAUGAGAACAUGUAUCAAAUUACGUGCAUGAUAACAUUCAAAUCAUCGAAAUGAAACGUAGAUCGGCUGAGAGAGGCCACCAGCAGGAAGCAAGCAGAUGGUGAGAUGGGAUGGGGCAGUGGUGGAGUAUAUUUCACAAACCUUGACCUUGAUUGAUGAUCCACAGGGGAAAUCCUGCUCGUGUGCAAUGGAGUUUGGAUUCAGGAAAGGAUCCAUAGGCGUCGCCGGGGCAGAUCUAAUUGUCAAUGUUUCAUGUGGUGAUUGAGCUGGUUACUUGUCAAUAAUUUCACAAUAACAUGCGCGCGCACGCACCCAUCAAGCUGAAGCAGGAGACAACACCCUAGAGCCCGACAAGGUAGCCACCAACACCGUCGAACGCCCUGCUUAGCCGAGACCACAUGGUAGACACCGGUGUGCUACCAAAGCCGUUGAACCGCAUCAUAAAGAACAAACUAAGCAGUCAGAGUUUUCGCAAGCAAUAUAUUACUGCGUAACCGUGCACUUUCUCCAGAGUUUUCUCAAGCCGCGGCUAAGUUUUCCUUAUAACACUGUAGUACAGUUUUAUUUGAAUGUUGACAAUUUUAGGAAGAUGGUUAUGUUCAUUAAGUUGCUGUUAUAGCCUGCUCAUAACUGAAUGAGAUUAGACAAGAACAUGAAUAAUGCAUUGCGCCAUCUAAUGAGCUUUGCAUUCCCAUUCCAAGUGUCAAGUUGCCUAGUAUUAUGUCAUGUUGUAGGCUUCAGUCACAUAUUCCCCUUUGUUUCUUCUUUCUUUAUCAUGCAAGGUUCUAAAGUGCUUAUUAGUGGCUUAAAAGGGUUCGUCACUGUGAUUUCCCCAUCUUCCUCUUUUGUGACAAAUGCUAAAAGUACUCCCACUGUUCAGUAAUGUUGAUGGUUUUUGCCAUGGUCAUGUGAAUUAAGGAAUAUCCUCAGUUAAUCAUCAUUUCCUUCUCUUAAUCCUAGGUCAUCUAAUCUUUUCUUAAUUCUGGUGUGCUCUUUCCAAGGAAGAGCAUUAACAGGAGAAAUACUUGUUAAUCAGAGCAAUGCCAAAAUGGCAUACACUUGUGGACUCGAUGACAUGGCUAAAACCAUUCUUUUACCUAGAAAAUGUAAAACGACAUACUCUUCUGGACUUGGUGAGAUGGCUAAAACCACCCAUCUUGCCUAGAAACUGUGAAAAGAUAUACGCUUCUCGACUUGAUGAGAUGGCUAUAACCACCCCUAUCUGUGGACUUGGGAGGGAGACUUAUUGUGUGUAGCAGUCAAUCACAUGUUUUUUAACUUGCCUCAGCCUUUAACUCUUCAUAAAUUUUGACAUCAAAACAGACAAAUGGACACAAGAAUACUUCAGUCAGUGUGACAUCAUUAUUGUAGACUUCAUAGAGCUUCAUAAAUCUUGAUGUUUUCAUGCUUACGCUGACAUGACAUAUUCUUGAAGCACAACACUGCAGCAGGCAACUGAACUCAUGAUUCAAAGACUUGCUAAAUGCUAUUCUUAUUUCGCUGAAAGAGUUAUGCGUUUGUGAGUUCUAAACAUGCAUCCUAUUAGUAUCGUUGUCAAUGCUUGGGCUUGUAACACAGAAACUUAUAUGAUUUUACAGGAACCAUAGAAACUUAUCCAUGAGAAAGUUUGUAGCGCAGCUUUCCUGCAUCUUGUGAACAUAAUCAAUGGAUGUCAACUUGUGUAAUUGAAGUAUUGUGGUUUGCAGGUCAAGUUUGGUGUCAUCUUCAAUGACGACCGAUGCGCAAACAUAUUUGAAGCAUUAGUUGGCACCUUACGGGCUGCCAAGAAGAGGAAAGUUGUCACCUACGACGGUGAAAUGCUUCUGCAGGGUGUUCAUGACAAUGUGGACAUAACCAUGUUCCCUCCCCCCACGGUUGCUGCCACUUGAAGUUUGCAACACCGGCAAGUCUCCCACAUUAUUGUGUCGAUCUGCUUGUAGUUUGUUGUGCUUAAAUUCCCAUAAACCGUUUGGUGCUCCCAGAAGAGUACUAUUGUGAGAUGUGAACUCAUGAUCUAUGCAAUGGCUUUGCUCUAUUGCUUGCAUGGUUGUUGAAACUCGGUGCUGAUGUACUGUGUUGUGAAAGAUAGAGCAACAAGCUCCAACUUUGAAGUAAAUGGCCACUGUGUUAUUGAGAGUGUACUACACAUUGCUUGUCUAACAUUGACAUCUAUAGUACUUUCACUUCUUUCUUUGCACUGUCUUAUAUAAAUUGUGAGAUAGUUUGAUUUUGGCAGUGCGGAGUGUCUCCUUCUGUUCAUAUUAGUCAUGGCUCAUGAGGAUGGGAGACAUUGGGAAGAAAAUAACCAGCGGGAACCAGCCUGAAGAGGCGUCCUGCUUUUCACCAGCGUCAUCUUUCAUUGAUGCGGCAAAGGCUAAUCAGUUUGUGGCAAGAGUUGUGAUGAUAAUUUUGUUAUAGUUAUCCACGACGUUGAGAUGUGAGGUCCUACCUUUUGCAGGGUUCAUCAAUAUAGCAAUCAAGGAUUUGAUUGAUCUUCCCUUGCUAGGACUGCACAUCGUAUGGUUGAUGUAGAAUUUAUGAUCAUUUCUGGUUCUACCUAUACAGUUUUUCAAAAUCUGUGAUACAUUGGAAUCUCUGUAUGAGAAAUAUAGGGCAAAGUAAAGAGCAUUUGGUACUUUGUGACGGCAAAUGUAUACAACAAAUCACAAGAAAUGGUUGAAUCAAAUAGGGUCAAAUGAUAAUGUUGAACACGGUCAUACAAUUUUUAUAGAAUUUUUACAAGUUACAAUUCUACCAAGUAAAGACUCCACCUAGGAUAUAAUUUUGAGAGGCUCCAUACAAUGUUGAACACGAUCCAGUUAAUGAUAGGGUUGUAUGGACUAGAUUGAGAUUCUGAUAAAAAUUGGUCUCCUGGCCAGUGACCACGAAUUUUAUCUUAUUACUGACCAUAUAUGGUCAAGGAUUUAUUAGUCAAUUUGCUGAAAGUGGCCACCAAUGACCUCUUACCAAGAGUACGAAUUACUAUCAGAACAAACUAAACACUUUCGGCCUUCCGCAAAAGGGGAAAGACAUUUAUAACUUCAACAAUUAUCGUUCCGAUCUUAUACGAACUUCCAAACACAAAGUCGAGGAAAAACAAAAGGAUGUAGAUGGCUAGAGAAUGCAUUUCAAGUCUAAUGUUCCAUGUUUUUGCAUUUGAAAAUUGGUUUGUGCAUAAGGAUGGGAGGCAUAAUAAUGCACGUGCAAGUAUCGAGACGACAGAGAACACAAGACUUCAGACAACAAGUUUGUUUGGUUGGUGCCUAAAUUUGCCACACUUUUUGUGCCAAAUGUGUCAGCAAGUCAUAUUAGUCACACCUGUGGCAAGAUUUGGCAAGAAAUUUUAUGUAUGAUAAGCAGGGUAGUGUGCUAAGAAAUUAUGGCACACCACAAGUGAGCCAAAGAAGCAAACAUUACACCACGAGAGUGCAACAUGCCUAACACGGGUGGGUGGAAGGAAUUCUGCAAGUUAAAAUCUGGUUCAAAUGUGGUCCAACAGAUAAAAUUUGUGAUUAAAAAUAAAUAUAUGACUAGCAGUUUCCUAGCAAGAGAUCCAAUGUUAAAAGAAUUAUAGUGAUCCACAACAUUGCGAUGUGAGGUCUUACUUGUGCAUUGUUCAUAUGAGCAUCUGAAACAACAAGUCACGAACAUGGCAAUUGGUGAAGUCCACCUCAAAGAGGGAAACAAGCUGUUUUUGUGCAACAAUGAUCAAUAACUACAUCCGGUAUCCAUAUCCAUGGUUUAAGCAUGCAGCAACUAACAUGAUUAGGAGUUUAAAGAUUUGGGGUAGGCUUGUCUCUAGGCCUUAGUAUGAGCAU
RNAcentral lists this long non-coding RNA (8383 nucleotides) under Triticum aestivum (bread wheat). Its description in RNAcentral is "long non-coding RNA (TAES_LNC004009)". The record is from RNAcentral. Lineage: Eukaryota; Viridiplantae; Streptophyta; Magnoliopsida; Poales; Poaceae.